UAGGGAAUCUUCGGCAAUGGACGAAAGUCUGACCGAGCAACGCCGCGUGAGUGAAGAAGGUUUUCGGAUCGUAAAACUCUGUUGGUAGAGAAGAACGUUGGUGAGAGUGGAAAGCUCAUCAAGUGACGGUAACUACCCAGAAAGGGACGGCUAACUACGUGCCAGCAGCCGCGGUAAUACGUAGGUCCCGAGCGUUGUCCGGAUUUAUUGGGCGUAAAGCGAGCGCAGGUGGUUUAUUAAGUCUGGUGUAAAAGGCAGUGGCUCAACCAUUGUAUGCAUUGGAAACUGGUAGACUUGAGUGCAGGAGAGGAGA
RNAcentral lists this ribosomal RNA (313 nucleotides) under uncultured bacterium. Its description in RNAcentral is "partial 16S ribosomal RNA". It matches the Rfam family "Bacterial small subunit ribosomal RNA", at positions 355 to 660 of the family's 1533-position model. The record is from RNAcentral.